AACGCAGCGAAAUGCGAUACCUAGUGUGAAUUGCAGAAUUCCGCGAAUCAUCGAGUCUUUGAACGCAAGUUGCGCCCGAGGCUUGUCCAAGGGCAUUUCCGCUAGAGCGUCACC
RNAcentral lists this ribosomal RNA (114 nucleotides) under Claopodium aciculum. RNAcentral describes it as "partial 5.8S ribosomal RNA". It matches the Rfam family "5.8S ribosomal RNA", at positions 42 to 154 of the family's 154-position model. From Rfam's summary of the family: 5.8S ribosomal RNA (5.8S rRNA) is a component of the large subunit of the eukaryotic ribosome. The record is from RNAcentral. Lineage: Eukaryota; Viridiplantae; Streptophyta; Bryopsida; Hypnales; Leskeaceae.